This 357-nucleotide ribosomal RNA is filed under the name uncultured bacterium. RNAcentral describes it as "bacterial SSU rRNA". It matches the Rfam family "Bacterial small subunit ribosomal RNA", at positions 29 to 376 of the family's 1533-position model. The record is from RNAcentral.
AACGAACGCUGGCGGCGUGCCUAACACAUGCAAGUCGAGCGCGAAAGGGCUUCGGCCCCGGUAGAGCGGCGCACGGGUGAGGGAACACGUGAGUAAUCUACCCUUCGGCGGGGGACAACUGCUGGAAACGGCAGCUAAUACCGCGUACAGUCUUGGAAUCGCAGGGUUUUUAAGUGCAAAGAGGGCUUUCGGCUCUCACCGGAGGAUGAGCUCGCGUCCCAUUAGCUAGUUGGCGGGGUAACGCCCACCAAGGCUCAGAUGGGUAACUGGGUCUGAGAGGAUGAUCAGUCACACUGGAACUGAGACACGGUCCAGACUCCUACGGGAGGCAGCAGUGGGGAAUAUUGCGCAAUGGGC